AUUGAACGCUGGCGGCAGGCCUAACACAUGCAAGUCCGAGCGGAUGAGUGGAGCUUGCUCCAUGAUUCAGCGGCGGACGGGUGAGUAAUGCCUAGGAAUCUGCCUGGUAGUGGGGGACAACGUUUCGAAAGGAACGCUAAUACCGCAUACGUCCUACGGGAGAAAGCAGGGGACCUUCGGGCCUUGCGCUAUCAGAUGAGCCUAGGUCGGAUUAGCUAGUAGGUGAGGUAAUGGCUCACCUAGGCGACGAUCCGUAACUGGUCUGAGAGGAUGAUCAGUCACACUGGAACUGAGACACGGUCCAGACUCCUACGGGAGGCAGCAGUGGGGAAUAUUGGACAAUGGCGAAAGCCUGAUCCAGCCAUGCCGCGUGUGUGAAGAAGGUACUUCGGAUUGUAAAGCACUUUAAGUUGGGAGGAAGGGCA
RNAcentral lists this ribosomal RNA (425 nucleotides) under uncultured bacterium. RNAcentral describes it as "bacterial SSU rRNA". It matches the Rfam family "Bacterial small subunit ribosomal RNA", at positions 30 to 454 of the family's 1533-position model. The record is from RNAcentral.